This 496-nucleotide ribosomal RNA is filed under the name uncultured bacterium. RNAcentral describes it as "partial 16S ribosomal RNA". It matches the Rfam family "Bacterial small subunit ribosomal RNA", at positions 28 to 506 of the family's 1533-position model. The record is from RNAcentral.
GAUGAACGCUGGCGGCGUGCCUAAUACAUGCAAGUCGAGCGAACGGACGAGAAGCUUGCUUCUCUGAUGUUAGCGGCGGACGGGUGAGUAACACGUGGAUAACCUACCUAUAAGACUGGGAUAACUUCGGGAAACCGGAGCUAAUACCGGAUAAUAUUUUGAACCGCAUGGUUCAAAAGUGAAAGGCGGUCUUGCUGUCACUUAUAGAUGGAUCCGCGCUGCAUUAGCUAGUUGGUAAGGUAACGGCUUACCAAGGCAACGAUGCAUAGCCGACCUGAGAGGGUGAUCGGCCACACUGGAACUGAGACACGGUCCAGACUCCUACGGGAGGCAGCAGUAGGGAAUCUUCCGCAAUGGGCGAAAGCCUGACGGAGCAACGCCGCGUGAGUGAUGAAGGUCUUCGGAUCGUAAAACUCUGUUAUUAGGGAAGAACAUAUGUGUAAGUAACUGUGCACAUCUUGACGGUACCUAAGCAGAAAGCCACGGCUAACUACGU